GAUGAAGAACGUAGCGAAAUGCGAUACGUAAUGUGAAUUGCAGAAUUCAGUGAAUCAUCGAAUCUUUGAACGCACAUUGCGCCCGCCAGUAUUCUGGCGGGCAUGCCUGUCCGAGCGUCAUUUCAACCAUCAAGCCCCGGGCUUGUGUUGGGGACCUGCGUCCGACGCAGGCCCUGAAAACCAGUGGCGGGCUCGCUGUCCACACCGAGCGUAGUAACUAACCUCGCUAUGGAGUGGCGCGGGCGCCUGCCGUAAAACCCCCAAUUUCACAAGGUUGACCUCGGAUCAGGUAGGAAUACCCGCUGAACUUAAGCAUAUCAAUAAGCGGAGGA
This 332-nucleotide unclassified non-coding RNA is filed under the name soil metagenome. RNAcentral's name for it is "partial contains 5.8S ribosomal RNA, internal transcribed spacer 2, and large subunit ribosomal RNA". The stretch from base 1 to 120 matches the Rfam family "5.8S ribosomal RNA", at positions 35 to 154 of the family's 154-position model. The record is from RNAcentral.